GCCCACGGUAGUUCCAUUGAACACGUUACCCCACCAGUGCGCGUACAUUUGAAACCAAGUGCGUUAAGUAUGAAGGUGUUGAAGCAAGUACUGGCAUUUGCCGCAUUUGUUCUAGUAACAUUGUUAGUUGUCCAAGGUGCUUACGGGCAAACAACAACUGAAGAACCAUCCACCAGCACAAAUGCCGACGAUUGAGUUCGCCAGCUGAAAUUUCCAGUUUUAAUUUCCAAAAUGCAAUAAACGCUAACAUCCAA
This is a long non-coding RNA of Cylas formicarius (sweet potato weevil), 254 nucleotides long. RefSeq lists it as uncharacterized. Lineage: Eukaryota; Metazoa; Arthropoda; Insecta; Coleoptera; Brentidae. The record is from RefSeq and is a predicted model, not a curated record. The transcript is spliced from 3 exons.